RNAcentral lists this ribosomal RNA (254 nucleotides) under uncultured bacterium. Its description in RNAcentral is "partial small subunit ribosomal RNA". It matches the Rfam family "Bacterial small subunit ribosomal RNA", at positions 26 to 285 of the family's 1533-position model. The record is from RNAcentral.
AGGACGAACGCUGGCGGCGUGCUUAACACAUGCAAGUCGAGCGGAAAGGCCCUUCGGGGUACUCGAGCGGCGAACGGGUGAGUAACACGUGAGCAACCUGCCCUUAGCUUCGGGAUAGCUCCGGGAAACCGGAAUUAAUACCGGAUAUGACAACGGCCGACAUCGGCCAUUGUGGAAAGUUUUUCGGCUAGGGAUGGACUCGCGGCCUAUCAGCUAGUUGGUGAGGUAACGGCUCACCAAGGCGACGACGGGUA